RNAcentral lists this long non-coding RNA (1061 nucleotides) under Trifolium pratense (red clover). RNAcentral describes it as "long non-coding RNA (TPRA_LNC005444)". Lineage: Eukaryota; Viridiplantae; Streptophyta; Magnoliopsida; Fabales; Fabaceae. The record is from RNAcentral.
GGCUGUAUUUCAUAAACGAUUGCUCAUGCUGUUUUUUACUUUUGAAAGAUGAAUUGAUUUCUCUCUCUCAUAUUUGAUUGAGGUAAUGAAAUAGUGACAACCAAAUAGAAUAAAAUUACAACUAAGUUGAUGAAUUAGUAGAGCACAAUUUUUUAUGGUGGUUUGUGGUUUUAUUUAAUGUACUUAUUUCAUGUCUACUAUAUAUCUGAGUUUGAAUAUUACUCAAGUUUAUUGUUAUUUGAUGCCUUUUCCAUCAUGUGUAUUCUUAGAAAUGAGUAUUGGGUUUAACUCAUCGUUACAAAACCGGCUUGUAAGAUGAGGAUUGCCUCUAGUAUAUAAACACUUAAAUCACUGUUUAUAUAAAGGUAUUUUAACAUUGCUUAAUUUGUCAUAAAUUUAGUUUUAAUAAAAAUGAGUAGACAGUAAUUUUAGACCUUCCUUAAUUUUAGUUUCAUAUUUGUCAUUUGUCUUUUCUUUUCCCUAAAUUGUUCUUUGAUUGAAGAAGCAAGCUAAAGAGAUUUGUGGCACUUUGCAGCUUACACUACAACAUUUUUGCUUUUAAAUAACAAUUCAAAACUGUAGCCUAAACCAUGAAAAUUGUUGUCCAUAGGUACAGGGAACAGUUUUCGACUGAGUGUUACUCAAUAAUUAUUUAGUACUAUAUUAAAUAGUUGAAAAUUAUGAUUCAUUAAUCACAUUAUAAGUUUCAUAUUACUCCUGAGACGCAAAUUUUAUUGUGGGAUGGUAACAAAUAUUGAUGACGAUUUGCAUGCAUCAUCAUCCCGUGAUGAUUCAUAUCCAAAAACUAGGAGUAAAGAUAGUUCUGAUUGGCGUAUAUGGAUCCGUCCAUGACCAAAAUUAACGUAAGAUUUUUAUAUUAACUUGUAUACUUGUAUCUUACUGGAGGGUCAAUUUCAACAACUAAGCAUUUUAAGAGAAGGGUAAGUAAUUAAAUUAGAUUUUGUAGAUUAAUUUUAGUUUUAAUUAAUGCUAAUCUAUUUAUAUUUGGAAAAAAUAAAAAAUCCCUGUUUGUGACGGAAUAAACCGUCGCUAAAUCAGGU